Non-coding RNA from Pelobates cultripes (western spadefoot toad), 237 nucleotides. The record is from the annotation of a GenBank genome assembly. Lineage: Eukaryota; Metazoa; Chordata; Amphibia; Anura; Pelobatidae.
UGGGCAGUGGUGGUGGGGUGGCUGGGGCAGUGGCAGAGGGUGGAUAAGGCAGGGGCAGAGGGUGGCUGGGCAGUGGUGGUGGGGUGGCUGGACAGAGGGUGGCUGGGGCAGUGGCAGAGGGUGGCUGGGCAGUGGUGGUGGGGUGGCUGGACAGAGGGUGGCUGGGGCAGUGGCAGAGGGUGGCUGGGCAGUGGCAGAGGGUGGCUGGGGCAGUGGCAGAGGGUGGCUGGGGCAGUG